Molecule: long non-coding RNA, 3000 nt
Organism: Oncorhynchus nerka (sockeye salmon)
Lineage: Eukaryota; Metazoa; Chordata; Actinopteri; Salmoniformes; Salmonidae
Exons: 5
Source: RefSeq, a predicted model, not a curated record
CCAACAUGAACAUUAAAUUGACUUUGGAAGGCUCCAGGCAUUCCUGCUCGACACCACAUUAGACCCGGCUACUCCCCACCUCGAGAUGAUGGGCAGCCUGCCAGGUAGGGGUUGCCAUGACUCCUAACACCACCCCUUCCCUCUGCACUCCCUCUCCCUUGAAGGUGCCAAAUUUUCGGGCAGGCUGGGCUGGCCAAGGUUUUGAUUUAGACAAAAGAUGUCUUCACAAUGUCAGCAGAAUGCUUUAUGGAAAUGCUGUGGCUUUCUGGUAGGAAACCAUGUGACCCCCUCGGCCAAGGUUUUGUUAUGGUGCCAGGAGGAAGAGAAAGAGAGAAUGCGAUGCCAGCAAAGGGUUAUGCUUUCUUUUUUUUGUCUUUCUUUCAUUCUUGUGUUUGCUUAGAAAAUGGCGGAUGGUGCGGUGCUGAAAUUAACCCGACUUGCCAAUGGAGAUGGGCACAAAACCAUAGCUUGAUUUUUAUUUUAUCAGAAGCGGAUGCUUUUUUGCAUAGCAUCCACGUUUCAUCUAUUUUUGAUUCAAGCUCAAGCCUGCUUCCUGUCUGUCUGUCUCCGGCCGCGUACAAAAGAGAGGUCAGAACAAUCCAAACCAAAUAGAGAUGAUGAAUGCCAAAUGGUUAGUAGAGAUCUGGGGAUGGGAAGAGAGUGAGAUUACUCCAUACCCUGUAAGGCACACAAUCAACAAGGCAUUGUGGAGCUGGAGCCCAGCGGAUCUCUUAUCUCAGGUAGAUGGGGGGGAACAGCAGGUACUGUGGAGCCCCCCCCCUCUCUUUCUCUCUCAGUGUAUGCUCACUCACAGGACGAAGAGAAGUAGGUAGCCAAGGUGUAAGGGACGGACGGGGUGGCUGAAGGGCGGCAUUCUCAGACGGAGCAGAGCAGAACGCUCUCUCCUCCUCUCCCCUUGUCAUUGGUAUGCAGUGGCUGUUCCCCAGGCGACAGGGCCACUGGGUUCGGGCUGAACUUACUGCAAGAGAAAAGUCAGCGACACAGAGGAGAGGAGGACAGCAGGUAAGGGUAAUGAGAACAGGCAGAGAAAGGAAAGGGGGAAAGAGAGAAGGAGGGAAGAAGAGGACAAGCGAAAGGAGGGCAAGAUGUCCCAAGGGGCUUUGGGGGUGAGGCACCCCCUGACCCUUCGCACUCCGUACACUGUCCAGACACUAACACACACACACACACACACACACACACACACACACACACACACACACACACACACACACACACACACACACACACACACACACACACACACACACACACCUAAACUCUUUUAAAGGGUUCUACAUGAAACCCAAACGGGUUCUACCUGGAACCAAAAAUAGUUUAUCAAGGCUGUAACAUAACAAAAUGUGGAAAAAGUGAAGAGGUCUGAAUACUUUCCGAAUGCACUGUAUACUUAGAAACAAAAAGGUGGGUUAAAUGGGUUCAUUGGCUUUUUGUUUCUAAGUAUACAGUGCAUUCGGAAAGUAUUCAGACCUCUUCACUUUUUCCACAUUUUGUUAUGUUACAGCCUUAUUCUAUAAUGGAUUACAUUUUUUUUAAAUUCCCCUUAUCAAUCUAUACACAAUACCCCAUAAUGACAAAGCAAAAACAGGGUUUUAGACAUUUUUGCAGACAAUGAGUAAAAAAUAUCUCUUUUACAGAAAUAUUCAGACCCUUUAUUCAGUACUUUGUUGAAGCACCUUUGGCAGCAAUUACAGCAUUGAGUCUUCCUGGGUAUGACGCUACAAGCUUGGCACACAUGUAUUUGGGGUGUUUCUCCCAUUCUUCUCUGCAGAUCCUCUCAAGCUCUGUCAGGUUGGAUGGGGAGCAUCGCUGCACAGCUAUUAUCAGGUCUCUCCAGAAAUGUUUGAUCACUUUCAAGUCUGGACUCUUGUUGGGCCACUCAAGGACAUUCAGAAACUUGUUCCGAAGCCACUCCUGCAUUGUCUUGGCUGUGUGAUUAGGGUCUUUGUCCUGUUGGAAGGUGAACCUUCACCCCAGUCUGAGGUCCUGAGAGCUCUGAAGCAGGUUUUCAUCAAGGAUCUCUCUGUACUUUGCUCUGUUCAUCUUUCCCCCGAUCCUGAUUAGUCUCCCAGUCCCUGCCACUGAAAAAACAUUUCCACAGAAUGAUGCUGCCACCACCAUGCUUCACCGUAGGAUUGGUGCCAGGUUUCCUCCAGAAGUGACUCUUUGCAUUCAGGCCAAAGAGUUCAAUCUUGGUUUCAUCAGACCAAAGAAUGUUGUUUCUCAUGGUCUGAUAGUCUUUAGGUGCCUUUUGGCAAACUCCAAGUGGACUGUUAUGUUGCUUUUACUGAGAAGUGGCACCCAUCUAGCUACUCUAACGGCCUGAUUGGUGGAGUGCUGCAGAGAUGGUUUUCCUUCUGGAAGGUUCUCCCAUCUCCACAGAGGAACUCUCACAGAGGAACUCUCACAGAGGAACUCUAACGGAAAUACUUUCCGAAUGCGCUGUAUAUGUAUUAAAGGUCCAAUGCAGUUGUUUUAUUCUCAAUAUCAAAUAUAAUUUGUAGGUAACAGUUAAGUACCUUACUGUGAUUAUUUUUUAAGUAUAAUGGUCAAUAAGAAAAAAAUUGCUUCUUCGCAAAGAGCACUGGGCCUUUAAUGCCAAAACACCCGACUAGACACUUUAUGUCAAGCGCACAUCAUGUAUCCAAAAAGCAAGAACAAAUGUAUUCUCUCUCACAAACACACAAGGGGAGUUUGGGUAAUGUUUGGUACUUUUGGCUUUUUUCUUUGUAAGAGUCUUUAUGACUAAAUAGUGAUAAUGUAAUGCUUCUUGAGAUACAUAUAUUAUAUCUUGAGCUUUACAGCAUAUGAUUUUGUCCAAUAUAUUGUAUUGUAUUAUGUUGUUACGUAAACAUGUUUUUUUUCUUCAAAUAACUGUUUUACAUUUUUGAGAAUAGUGUUAUAAAGAAAGCAAAUGAUUGAAUGCAAACAGUGUAAAAUGUCAUUACAAAUUGUGUGAAAAUAAACAGAUUAAUAUUA